CUCCGCCUCUCCUCUUUUUCUUGGGUCUAUCACCUCCGCUCACAAAUCUCUGUCUCCUUCGUUCGUGUCUGUCUUCCGGUUGAUGAUGAACUUGUUGUUUUCUUAGGCGUAGGUGUAGGUGCUCUUCUCUUAUUCGUAUGAGUUGUAUAUGGUUGAGUGAAACCUCUUGAAGAGCUUUUCCUUACCUAUGUCCCUUAGCCAAUCAAGCCUUACUUUCUUUCCCUUUUCUUCUUUUGUUUCCUGCCUCGGUCAGCUUUUCUUUGAUCUAUCUCCGCGGGUCACUAAACUAACCUUCUCUGGUCCGCUUUGGCUAUUGAACUAAUCUUCUUCGAACCCCCAGGCCGAACUCGGAAAGUCCAACCAAUGUAUGAUACCCCCGACACUGCAACCGUCUCUUCAAUCGGGUCAAGUCCGCCAUCGAACCCCCUAGACCCCAAGCCAGUAAGUUUGA
This 451-nucleotide unclassified non-coding RNA is filed under the name Hevea brasiliensis (rubber tree). The record is from RNAcentral. Lineage: Eukaryota; Viridiplantae; Streptophyta; Magnoliopsida; Malpighiales; Euphorbiaceae.